Non-coding RNA from Callorhinus ursinus (northern fur seal), 2749 nucleotides. Lineage: Eukaryota; Metazoa; Chordata; Mammalia; Carnivora; Otariidae. The record is from RefSeq and is a predicted model, not a curated record.
CGGGGGUCACGGCCCACCUUGAAGACCCACGUGGAAGUAGUAUGAUGAGAGAGGCUGGAGUUUGGAGACAGAGGUCUGAGAAGCCAAGGCUUCUCAUCCCCUUUCUAACUUCCCCAGAAGCCAAGGUGGGCCUCUGCUCAUUUCAUUCUGCUCAGGUGUCUUUACCCACCCUGGAGGACUCAAACCUCAGGACAUCUCUGGGGGCUUGGAGCCCAGCUCUUAGUCACCUUCCAAUUGGGUAACCCUGGGGCAGGGUAGUGAACCCCUCUGGGCCUCAGUAAGAUGUAGACAGUAACACCUACCCCAUAGGCCUUGUGAUUUGUGAACACAUCUUAAUAGGGCUCUCCCUGCCUGGAAGGCAGAGGUGGGGCUCCUCACCCUUCCCCCUUUUUUACUCCUCAGGAAGGAUUUGAGGGUGGGUUAAAUUGGGUCCUACUUUAUCCCAUGCCUGGAAGAGAUGGUCUGUGAUCUGGCUUUUGAAGGAUGCGUAGGAGCCUGCCCCAUGAACACAGUCCAAAGGACAUCCCAGGGAGAAUGAAAAUGAAAAGCUUAUCUCCAUCCUAUGAAAGAUGGAGAUUGUAUGACCCACAGGUGACUGAUGAGCAGUUCCAUGUGACAGCACAUGGGCUGGGAGAGGAGGCUGGAGAGGUUGGCAGAGCGCAGCGGUGGGUAACUUUGGGCCAUUCUAAGGGGUCUGGGUAUAUGUAACGUUCGUGAAGCACCUUAUGCCUGCUAACUUCCGUGUUUCUGCUUUCCUGCCUCUGGUUGGCUGGAAAUAACAACAGGUAACACAAAGGCUGGUUCUGGGCCAUGCAGCAUGCUGCUAAAUGCUCUUCAGGCCUUAUCUUGUCAAACAUUCACAGUGACCUUAAGAAAUGGAUCCUACUUCUAUCCCCAUUUUACAGAUAAGGAAACUGAGGCUCAGAGAGUAAGAACAAAGAACUAUGUAGCAUGGACUAUGGGCCAGGCACUAAUUCUGAGUAUUUUACAUAAAUUAACCCAUUUAAUGGUCACAGCAGCGCCGCGGUCCAGGUGCUAUCUUCAGGCCCACCUUAUAGAUGUGGAAGCCCGAGGCCCAAGUUUUCUGGGCUGGUGCCUGUGUUCACAGUCUUAUAAUUAUGAAAUUGGGCGUGGGCCUGAAUUUCGGGUGCCUGUGCAGACCCUGUUGACAUCAACCCAAUCCCCUGGGGAUGGGUGUUGGUUCAGCUCGCUUUCACCAAGCCACACCCGGCCAGGAUGUGCGGGUGGCUGGGGACCCACUCAUCUGUGAGGGUCUGGCAAGCGGCAGCAUCUGCAACUGUGCGGUCAGGGCCCGGAGGGGUGGCUCAGAGGAGGCAUGGCCCCAGCUGAACUUUACUGAGUGCUCUGAAUCCCCACUAGGCUCUGUCCGUGCCCCCCUCCUCACAGGGGACAAAGAUGCUGAGAGCAGAGUUUAGGCAUCUUGCCUGAGGGCACCUGUGCCUCAGAGGGAUUGAGCCAGGUCCCGCCCUCAGCUACAAGCUGCCUUCUUGAAGGCUGAGGCCGCCGCGAUGCCGCACUUCCUGGACUGGUUCGUGCCCGUCUACCUGGUCAUCUCAGUGCUCAUCCUGGUGGGCUUCGGCGCCUGCAUCUACUACUUCGAGCCUGGCCUGCAGGAGGCGCACAAAUGGCGCAUGCAGCGCCCCCUGGUGGACCGUGACCUCCGCAAGACUCUGAUGGUCCGCGACAACUUGGCCUUCGGAGGACCAGAGGUCUGAGCUGACCCGCGCCGGUGGCCGGUGGCGGGCACCGGGCUCCCUCCCCUGCUUCGCCCAGCCUGGAGACCCUGAGGCAGAGAGAGGACAACCCGUGGUCCUCCAGGCCAUCCCUCUGCUUCCUGGACCCUCCCAGCAGAGGCUUCCGGGCGCUCCGGGUGGACCCUGGCUGCACCUGUUGAGAUGGGGCACCUGGGUACCUUGAGGUGUCACUGCUGCUGGCCCAGGGCUUGCUUUCCACAUCAAGCCAGUUCACCCCACACCUGCCCUCCUUGGCUCUGGGUUUAAUCCCCCACUGACCCCCAGUGCCUUUGUGCUGCCCAGCACUCUUGCCCCUCACCUGGAGGGAGGCACCGCUGCCCCUGCUUGUCCUGAACCUCGACAGUCACACUUCCCCACUGAAUCCCUGGUGACGCUCAGCGGCCCCCGCCACCCAAGGCACCCACCCUGCAGCUUCACACGGCCGACUUCAAAGCGGACCCAAGGAAAAGGCCCUAUUUGGAGGGGCGUCUGCUUGGUCCAGCCCAGUCCCACCCCUCUGGACUCAGGCUUGGCAUUGAUCAGAGUGUGUGAUGGGGUGGCAGAGGGGUAAGAUCCAAGAGGAAGGAGGGUGUGUGUAUGUGUGUGUGUGUGUGUGUGAGAGAGAGAGAGAGUGUCUGGGGGGAGAGGAGAGGCAUGUGGGGAGGGGGAGAUGCAGGUCUGUAUGUGUGAGAGGCAGAGUGGGAGGUGGUGGAAUAGGGCGAGCUUGUGAGUAGCCCCGGAGACCACCAGGAGCAGUUCCUACCUCCCUUCCUCUGCUAGACUUUUCUGUCUCUCCCCUUCCCCAAGGCCCCUGCCCUCCAGUCCCUCCCUGCCCUGUACCGCACCUUCAGGUACUGCAUGCCCCCAGCACCCCUUCCCACCCCCCAGCCCCACCAGGGAGCCCUCCUCCUGUGUGACUGGCAGCCAGCCUCACUCUCCUCCUCUGGAGCUCCCCUCUUAGUUUCUUGCAAUAAUAAAGACUUCAUGACCAUUUU